UGCCAGCCGCCGCGGUAAUACGGAGGGUGCAAGCGUUAAUCGGAAUUACUGGGCGUAAAGCGCACGUAGGCGGCCAUUUAAGUCAGAUGUGAAAUCCCCGGGCUCAACCUGGGAACGGCCUCUGAUACUGGGUGGCUAGAAUUUGAGAGAGGCAAGUGGAAUUUCCGGUGUAGCGGUGAAAUGCAUAGAGAUCGGAAGGAACAUCAGUGGCGAAGGCGACUUGCUGGCUCAAAAUUGACGCUGAGGUGCGACAGCGUGGGUAGCAAACAGGAUUAGAUA
Molecule: ribosomal RNA, 279 nt
Filed under: uncultured bacterium
Lineage: Bacteria
Description: partial 16S ribosomal RNA
Rfam family: Bacterial small subunit ribosomal RNA
Source: RNAcentral